UACAGAGGGGGGCAAGCGUUGUUCGGAAUUACUGGGCGUAAAGGGCGCGUAGGCGGCUUUCUAAGUCGAACGUGAAAUCCCCGGGCUCAACCCCGGGCUUGCGGUCGAUACGGGCAGGCUCGAGUUCGGUAGGGGAGACUGGAAUUCCCGGUGUAGCGGUGGAAUGCGUAGAGAUCGGGAAGAACAUCAGUGGCGAAGGCGGCCUGCUGGGCUGUUGCUGACGCUGAGGCGCGACAGCGUGGGGAGCAAACAGG
This 254-nucleotide ribosomal RNA is filed under the name uncultured bacterium. RNAcentral describes it as "partial 16S ribosomal RNA". It matches the Rfam family "Bacterial small subunit ribosomal RNA", at positions 524 to 776 of the family's 1533-position model. The record is from RNAcentral.